Molecule: ribosomal RNA, 159 nt
Filed under: Rhizoplaca subdiscrepans
Lineage: Eukaryota; Fungi; Ascomycota; Lecanoromycetes; Lecanorales; Lecanoraceae
Also listed under: 1 other name
Description: 5.8S ribosomal RNA
Rfam family: 5.8S ribosomal RNA
About the family: 5.8S ribosomal RNA (5.8S rRNA) is a component of the large subunit of the eukaryotic ribosome. It is transcribed by RNA polymerase I as part of the 45S precursor that also contains 18S and 28S rRNA.
Source: RNAcentral
AAAACUUUCAACAACGGAUCUCUUGGUUCUGGCAUCGAUGAAGAACGCAGCGAAAUGCGAUAAGUAAUGUGAAUUGCAGAAUUCAGUGAAUCAUCGAAUCUUUGAACGCACAUUGCGCCCCUCGGCAUUCCGGGGGGCAUGCCUGUUCGAGCGUCAUUG